UGACAGAUUAUGUGUCAAAAUUUUAUUGGCCAAUAACAAUAUUGCAAAAAUAUCCUUUUUUUUUGUCUUAGCAUGGAAUUAUAAAUUGUUAAUAAGGGUAUUUUGGUCUAAAUUCUUUCAAAUUAGACAUUUUUGCAAUGGUGGAAUGACUAGGUAAAAAUGGACAUUUUAUGAAAUUUCCUCUAUUAUUGUUGUAAUUUUGUCCUAAUUACUGACAUGUAUUAAUUAUAAUCAGAAUCAUCGACAAUAUUAAAACAAUAAUCGUCGACGAAAUUUUCUAUCGCUAAUCACCUUACCUUUAUUAUUAUUUUUUUUGAGUGGCAACUGUUACGCCCCGCCACAUAGACUCCAUGACCGACCUCUUGAAGCCCUCGCAAUGAAUCCACGUGGAUCAAGCCCCCGAAGCCACACUCACUGAGGCGGUGGAUUCCUCGAACCGCCAAAGAUAAACCAUCAUAGGCUAGUGAGUUUAAAUGAACGUCUAGGAUUGGAUGCUUUGGUUAAAGAGAUGAGGUCACGUGUAUCUUCAUCCAAUAGACAUCAUUCCAUAUGUAAAAUUUUAAAUACCCCCUCUUUAUAUCAUUGGAAAGAUAAUCCAACUCAAUACACUUAAAGCUACUAAUAUGUCUUAUCUUUUGCAGAUUAUAAAUUUGUUUUGCUGGAG
Molecule: long non-coding RNA, 664 nt
Filed under: Olea europaea subsp. europaea
Lineage: Eukaryota; Viridiplantae; Streptophyta; Magnoliopsida; Lamiales; Oleaceae
Source: RNAcentral